UUUUUUUUCUGAGAGAGAGAAAGUUAGGAAUCUAUCGGCUUCAUUCUUUUUAAAGAUAUAUAAACUCAGUUAGAAAUGUGAAAUAAUUGAGUUUCAAAUUUGCGAUCUCUUGGUACCAACCAUCAAAUCUUUAUACAACUACAUUAGCUCCGAUAGGUGACAUAUCACUUAUAAUUAUUCUUCUCGACACUCUUGGUAAAAAUAAGGAGAUUUAUUACUUACACAAUAUGUUGUUGUAAAUUAACUGAGCAAAGGUUAUAUAUGUUUGUCAAUUAAAUAUAUACUAGAUGA
This 291-nucleotide long non-coding RNA is filed under the name Ananas comosus (pineapple). RNAcentral's name for it is "long non-coding RNA (ACOM_LNC020501)". Lineage: Eukaryota; Viridiplantae; Streptophyta; Magnoliopsida; Poales; Bromeliaceae. The record is from RNAcentral.